RNAcentral lists this ribosomal RNA (253 nucleotides) under uncultured bacterium. RNAcentral describes it as "partial 16S ribosomal RNA". It matches the Rfam family "Bacterial small subunit ribosomal RNA", at positions 524 to 776 of the family's 1533-position model. The record is from RNAcentral.
UACGGAGGGGGCUAGCGUUGUUCGGAAUUACUGGGCGUAAAGCGCGUGUAGGCUGGUCCUUAAGUCGGGGGUGAAAGCCCGGGGCUCAACCUCGGAACUGCCUUCGAUACUGAGGACCUGGAGUCUGGGAGAGGUGAGCGGAAUUCCGAGUGUAGAGGUGAAAUUCGUAGAUAUUCGGAGGAACACCAGAGGCGAAGGCGGCUCACUGGACCAGUACUGACGCUGAGGCGCGAAAGCGUGGGGAGCAAACAGG